RNAcentral lists this long non-coding RNA (1779 nucleotides) under Anneissia japonica. Its description in RNAcentral is "uncharacterized LOC117117849". Lineage: Eukaryota; Metazoa; Echinodermata; Crinoidea; Comatulida; Comatulidae. The record is from RNAcentral.
CACAGUAACUUGUACAUUCAGCUUUUUCUGUUGCCAAGAGACAUACUGUAAGAUGUCAGAUUUGUUCUGUAUUGUUGAGUGCAGUGAAAGUUGAUAAAAAUGCUAGAAAGUUAUCGUCAGUAUCGUGGUUUGUUAGCUGCAGAAGUAGUCCAGUUUUUUGCAUUGUGCCAUCGUUUUUUGACUUGAUGCAAAAUGACCCUGGAGUGAUGCAGCUUGUGUCAGCUGCGUCUGGCGAUGAUCAUCGAAAGUGAGGGAAACUCCAGACGGGUGGUGGAAGAAGCUAGUGAAUUAAUUAUGGCAUCUAUCUACGAGAAUACAAGCAAUGUAAUUGGACACAAAGUUCAAGCAAAAAGCCAGUCAAGAUAUGUUUUAUCAAUACAAGCAGCUAUUCAGAGGCAAAACCUAUGUCAACACCAGUGUAUUCCAGUAGUUUACUUUCUGAAGGCCGUAGCAACUUUCUCUAAGUCCACAAUGAUUAUUGGGUUAAAUCCGAGGAAAGUUGUGGCUAAAAAAAGCUCCUGUGUUUGAGUGAAAAAGUACUUCUAGGCCCUCAAAACCAUUGGGUUCAUCAUUGCCUAAAUUCCAGAGUCAUUUUGCACUGAUACAGCUGGUGAACAUACCAGUGCUUGUAUCAUACCGACGAAUAAUAAGAGUCGCAACACACGAAUCGGCGCCAACACGUAGUUGCUCCUUCACCUUGUAUAAUAAUAGUCCUAUCAGCACAACCAUUGACCAAACAGUCACAAUCACAGCAACAAAAGAUACCACCAUCAAUUUCACAAGUUUAAUUCAAAAAGCAGAGAAAUUCUGCAGCAAGAUAAAGCACAGUAAAGUCUAUUGUGAUCAAAAGCAGGGACUCUCUGGUUUCAGAUGAACAAGCAAGCAGAGCAGGCUACCCAUCUACAUAUAUGACAGCAUGAAUGAUGAGUCUGAUCAGCGCCCUCUAUGAUAAUAUCAGGAAUGCAGUUGAAACAUUGAAAAGUAACAGUAAAGAGUGCAUAUAGUGGUUCCAUGAUUUCCAAGUUUAAGGAUCAUAAUGAUUUCUACUCGUAUGUUAAUAUGAAAGGAAUGGUCUUCAAUGGAGAUUGUGUAUACUGGAAACCAAAAAGAACAAUUGAGACAGCAAAAGACACAACCAUCAACUUCUGAAGUUUUACACCAGAAGCAGAAAAAUUCUGUUGCAGUGAAAUCUAUGGCGAGAAGCAGGGAUUCGCUGGUUUCAUAUGGACCAAUUAAAAGCCAGCAAGCCAAGCAGAGUGCCCAGUUCACAUGUCAGGAUGAAUGAGUCUUAUUUCAAUAGCGCCCUCUAUGAUAGUGUCUGGAGUGCAGUUGAAACAUUGAAUAGUGAAAGUAAAGAGUGGUUUGGGAGACAAGGCCUGUAGCCAUUGUGUGAUGACAGGAUGUGUGGCCUGUAGAUCUGAAGAUUCUCUCCACAGCCAUGUAAUGCACAGUGAGUUUGAAAAACUGAUUGAGUGCAGGCCGAGUGAUUGCGAACGUUUUAAUGUCUUGCUACUACUCUUAGUUAGCAUCACUGAAAUUCUCAUUGUCAACCAAACUCAUUGAAGAAAUCAGUUAAAGAGGCAAAUCUUGUCAAACUAAGUAAUGUUGCUACCAUUUACCUGUUUCUGUUGCCAAGAGCCAUAAGAUGUCAAAUUUGCUCUGUAUUGCUGAGUGCAGUUAAAGUUGAUCGAGAUGCUAGUAAGAAUUACUAUGAAGAAGACAGUUGAGACAGAUUUUAUGCCACCAAAAUCCUCCUCAUAGCCCUCAGCUAGGCAGAAG